This 373-nucleotide ribosomal RNA is filed under the name uncultured bacterium. Its description in RNAcentral is "bacterial SSU rRNA". It matches the Rfam family "Bacterial small subunit ribosomal RNA", at positions 525 to 896 of the family's 1533-position model. The record is from RNAcentral.
ACGUAGGGUGCGAGCGUUAAUCGGAAUUACUGGGCGUAAAGGGUGCGCAGGCGGUUGCGCAAGUCAGGCGUGAAAUCCCCGGGCUUAACCUGGGAAUGGCGCUUGAAACUACGUGACUGGAGUAUGGCAGAGGGAGGUGGAAUUCCACGUGUAGCGGUGAAAUGCGUAGAGAUGUGGAGGAACACCGAUGGCGAAGGCAGCCUCCUGGGCCAAUACUGACGCUCAUGCACGAAAGCGUGGGGAGCAAACAGGAUUAGAUACCCUGGUAGUCCACGCCCUAAACGAUGAUGACUAGUUGUUGGAGGAGUUAAAUCCUUUAGUAACGCAGCUAACGCGAGAAGUCAUCCGCCUGGGGAGUACGGUCGCAAGAUUA